Molecule: ribosomal RNA, 464 nt
Filed under: uncultured bacterium
Lineage: Bacteria
Description: partial 16S ribosomal RNA
Rfam family: Bacterial small subunit ribosomal RNA
Source: RNAcentral
CUACGGGACGCAGCAGUGGGGAAUAUUGCACAAUGGGCGCAAGCCUGAUGCAGCCAUGCCGCGUGUAUGAAGAAGGCCUUCGGGUUGUAAAGUACUUUCAGCGGGGAGGAAGGGAGUAAAGUUAAUACCUUUGCUCAUUGACGUUACCCGCAGAAGAAGCACCGGCUAACUCCGUGCCAGCAGCCGCGGUAAUACGGAGGGUGCAAGCGUUAAUCGGAAUUACUGGGCGUAAAGCGCACGCAGGCGGUUUGUUAAGUCAGAGGUGAAAUCCCCGGGCUCAACCUGGGAACUGCAUCUGAUACUGGCAAGCUUGAGUCUCGUAGAGGGGGGUAGAAUUCCAGGUGUAGCGGUGAAAUGCGUAGAGAUCUGGAGGAAUACAGGUGGCGAAGGCGGCCCCCUGGACGAAGACUGACGCUCAGGUGCGAAAGCGUGGGGAGCAAACAGGAUUAGAUACCCUAGUAGUC